This 88-nucleotide transfer RNA is filed under the name Tuber brumale (winter truffle). RNAcentral describes it as "tRNA-Ser". It matches the Rfam family "tRNA". Rfam says of the family: Transfer RNA (tRNA) molecules are approximately 80 nucleotides in length. Their secondary structure includes four short double-helical elements and three loops (D, anti-codon, and T loops). RNAcentral also lists the same sequence under 1 other name. The record is from RNAcentral. Lineage: Eukaryota; Fungi; Ascomycota; Pezizomycetes; Pezizales; Tuberaceae.
AGAGAAUUGACCGAGCUUGGUUUAAGGUGAUAAACUUGAAAUUUAUUUGGCUAAAAUAGCUACAUCCGUUCAAAUCGGAUAUUCUCUG